AGGUCUGAGGAACGGAGCUCCCGGAAGUAAAGGCAUUGCCUCACAUUUGAGUUAUUCAGUCCAGGGUCACACUCGCCUGGAUCUGUCUCUUUACUGUCUCCAGUCUGCAGCAUUCCUUUGGCCUUUCCUGGCCCUUCCUGACCUUGGAACUUGUGAAGAGUGCUGGUCAAGGUCAAUGUUAUUGUGGGAGAUCCUUCAAUCCGAGUUUACAUGAUGGUCUUUUCAUGACUAAAUGGAAGCUGCACGUUUUCUUGCCAAGAACACCACAGAAGGGAAACUCUACACUCCUGGGUGAAUCGGAUUAUGAUUACCUAAUGCUAAUGUUAUUAAUAGUGAUGCUGUUAACCUUGGUUGCUAGGUUAAGGAGAUGUUCUCUGGGUUUCCAUAGUGCAAAAGUUACCCGUUUUUCUCCCUUUGCAAUGGCAUGACUUCAGGAUUUGUGGUCAGAAGCACGAGGUGGAGAAGUCCUGAUACAAUCUUUGUACUGUACGGUUGCCGUCUGGACUUCAUUGACUAUCCCGGAGCGAUCCAGCACAAGUGACAAGUGAAGACCUUGGCUGUGUUUCAGAAGCACAAUUACAACUCUUGGGGUAAAGAGCCUCAGCGACAAGGCCCAGGAAAGCAGGUGUAUUGAGAAUUAGAGGUAGUCACAGGGGAUGAAACAUAAAAUCAACGUGCCAGAGGUUGACCUGGGCUCUUCCACCCUCACUGUGAUCUUCAGUUUCGCUGCGUGCACUCAAGGCACAAACCUGGGAUUUGAGAUUUCAAGCUGUGUCUGUAAACUUAUUUUCAGAGACUCGGAGCGGGCCCCAGAGGAGAGGUAGGGAGUGGUCCUGGCAGCUGUUGGAUGAAGCAGGUUGGAAGGGCCUUGAGAGCAGAGGUCUGUUGUUUAACAUCAUCUUCGAGUGUACCCUAGCACGGCGGUCUCGGCUGGAGAGAUUUUCUGUGUGCUGAACUUAGAUGGAUAUGUCAAAGUGUACUCAAGCUUUCUUGAACUUUUUCCCCAUCUGAAAUCACUAAAAAUGUGCAGUAUUUCAAAAAGCCCAAGUUUGCCUCCAAAUAUGCUUGUGAAAUGUAUUUCAACACACAUAUCCAACAGUAAGAACAUGCUGGCCAUAUCAAUCCUCACAGCAACUCUUUAUUGCAGCAUAUUGAGGUUUAAUCAGGAAACAGGUUAGAGCUUCUAUGUACAGGUUUUCUUCUAGUUUGAGGUUUUCCUGAAAUAUGUGACACAGACUCGUUAUACAAAUGGCCACUAGUAAAUUAUUUCCAGCAUGUGUUACUCUGUCAACAGUGAUGCUUUCACAGAACCUUUGUCCUCCACAAUUCCCCCCCUCCAUUUAAACCAGGACAUUUCCAUCUCAGUGAGCCACUGCUGUAUUUGGGACCUAAGCGAGAAGCUGGAUAAACAGAGGCGCUAUUAUUAUUGUUACUGUCAAUAUAGUUUCCUUCCCUAGUUAUAACUGAUUAUUUCCUUUUUUCCAUUUCAAAACAUUUUUGUUCAAAUGCUUCUGAUGGCUCUCGUCACAAGCAAUAUUCCUUCGGAAAUAAUGCACCUUUUUAAUUUCUCAACCUAAAAUACACAGCCCGUCAUCUCCAUAGUAGGAUGAUGCUGUUAGAGAGAUCAGCUGUGUCUAGUUGGAGAAUUUUUAGGGGAAUAAGGGAUUACAGGAGCGAGUGCUUCCUCUAUUAGUUCGUGCAAAGUGAAGACAAGAAAGAAAGUCUGUAGGAUGUAAGAGGUGAUGUUACUCCAGCAAGAGUUGGGCAUUUGGAAACACAUGGAGUUAAAAGCAGUUUUCACUUAAUGUGCUUUGUUGUUUCUGCUACAAUAAAAAUAAAUAAUAAAAAUUCUGUUUUGCUUCUUUAUAAUA
Molecule: long non-coding RNA, 1871 nt
Filed under: Mus musculus (house mouse)
Lineage: Eukaryota; Metazoa; Chordata; Mammalia; Rodentia; Muridae
Description: predicted gene, 33111
Source: RNAcentral